This 148-nucleotide signal recognition particle RNA is filed under the name Chlorocebus sabaeus (green monkey). RNAcentral's name for it is "Metazoan signal recognition particle RNA". It matches the Rfam family "Metazoan signal recognition particle RNA". From Rfam's summary of the family: The signal recognition particle (SRP) is a universally conserved ribonucleoprotein. It is involved in the co-translational targeting of proteins to membranes. The record is from Rfam by way of RNAcentral. Lineage: Eukaryota; Metazoa; Chordata; Mammalia; Primates; Cercopithecidae.
GCUGGGCAUGGUGGUGCAUGCCUGUAGUCCCAGCUAUUUGGGAGGCUGAGGUGGGAGGAUUGCUUGAGCCCAGGAGUUGGAGGCUGCAGUGAGCCAUGAUGGUGCCACUGCACUCCAGCCUGGGCAACAGAGUGAGACCCUGUUUCUA